UAAUAAAAAAAUAUGAAAGAGAGUGGAGAGAAUCUCUCAAGCGAAAAACUCUGAAAAACCCAUAAAAAUACGUGUAUAUCAACUAUUAGGUAAAUUUU
This 98-nucleotide small RNA is filed under the name Arabidopsis thaliana (thale cress). Its description in RNAcentral is "ATSL102390". The record is from RNAcentral. Lineage: Eukaryota; Viridiplantae; Streptophyta; Magnoliopsida; Brassicales; Brassicaceae.